Molecule: long non-coding RNA, 266 nt
Organism: Hyposmocoma kahamanoa
Lineage: Eukaryota; Metazoa; Arthropoda; Insecta; Lepidoptera; Cosmopterigidae
Exons: 3
Source: RefSeq, a predicted model, not a curated record
UCGUAUACAAACCUGGAGGCGCUAAAAUAUGCCGAGUGUUAAUUCGGUGUAUCCGGUUGUAACUUGUUGCAGCACUCGGACUGCGCUUUGAAAUUUCAAGAAAGGAUCUUUGCAAAUAUACUUACAUAUAAAAAAGGCACACAAAGGUUGUACCUUGCGUUAAUUUAAAUAGCGUUCAGAAGUUGUUGAAAUGCAACUGUUUGUAUAGCUUGACCUAUAAUUAAAUGUACACGAGGAUUGAAAUUACGAAGAGUGAGAGGCAGCAG